AGAGUUUGAUCCUGGCUCAGAAUCAACGCUGGCGGCGUGCCUAACACAUGCAAGUCGAACGAGAAAGUGGAGCAAUCCAUGAGUAAAGUGGCGACCGGGUGAGUAACACGUGACUAACCUGCCCUAGAGUGGGGGAUAACCUCGGGAAACCGGGGCUAAUACCGCAUAACAUCGCGAGGGGAAGAUCCUUGCGAUCAAAGGAGCAAUUCGCUCAAGGAGGGGGUCGCGGCUGAUUAGCUAGUUGGUGAGGUAACGGCUCACCAAGGCGAAGAUCAGUAGCCGGCCUGAGAGGGCGCACGGCCACACUGGAACUGAAACACGGUCCAGACUCCUACGGGAGGCAGCAGUGGGGAAUUUUGCGCAAUGGGGGAAACCCUGACGCAGCAACGCCGCGUGGAGGAUGAAGUCCCUUGGGAUGUAAACUCCUUUCGAUCGGGACGAUAAUGACGGUACCGGAAGAAGAAGCACCGGCUAACUCUGUGCCAGCAGCCGCGGUAAUACAGAGGGUGCAAGCGUUGUUCGGAAUUAUUGGGCGUAAAGGGCGCGUAGGCGGUGCGGUAAGACUGUGGUGAAAUCUCCGGGCUCAACUCGG
Molecule: ribosomal RNA, 592 nt
Filed under: uncultured bacterium
Lineage: Bacteria
Description: bacterial SSU rRNA
Rfam family: Bacterial small subunit ribosomal RNA
Source: RNAcentral